RNAcentral lists this ribosomal RNA (468 nucleotides) under uncultured bacterium. Its description in RNAcentral is "partial 16S ribosomal RNA". It matches the Rfam family "Bacterial small subunit ribosomal RNA", at positions 28 to 507 of the family's 1533-position model. The record is from RNAcentral.
GACGGACGCUGGCGGCGUGCUUAACACAUGCAAGUCGAACGGAAAGGCCCUGCUUUUGUGGGGUGCUCGAGUGGCGAACGGGUGAGUAACACGUGAGUAACCUGCCCUUGACUUUGGGAUAACUUCAGGAAACUGGGGCUAAUACCGGAUAGGAGCUCCUGCUGCAUGGUGGGGGUUGGAAAGUUUCGGCGGUUGGGGAUGGACUCGCGGCUUAUCAGCUUGUUGGUGGGGUAGUGGCUUACCAAGGCUUUGACGGGUAGCCGGCCUGAGAGGGUGACCGGCCACAUUGGGACUGUGAUACGGCCCAGACUCCUACGGGAGGCAGCAGUGGGGAAUAUUGCACAAUGGGCGGAAGCCUGAUGCAGCAACGCCGCGUGCGGGAUGACGGCCUUCGGGUUGUAAACCGCUUUCGCCUGUGACGAAGCGUGAGUGACGGUAAUGGGUAAAGAAGCACCGGCUAACUACGUG